GUGAAUCAUCGAAUCUUUGAACGCACCUUGCGCUCCUUGGUAUUCCGAGGAGCAUGCCUGUUUGAGUGUCUUGAAGCCAUCAACCCCUCCCGUUUCGUGCGGAGAGGUGCGUUGGAGAUGGGGGCCUGCGGUCGUGAGGCCGCUCCCCUCAAAUGCUUCGGUUGGGCCUGUGGGUCGAACUCGGUUGGGCGUUGUAACAACCUCGCUCUCCUCCGAGAAGUUCCCCUGACAUUGUGCCCCUCCACGACCACCUAGCGAGUGGUGGUCAAAACAACUUUGAAAUCUGACCUCAAAUCAGGUAGGACUACCCGCUGAACUUAAGCAUAUCAAUAAGCGGAGGA
RNAcentral lists this unclassified non-coding RNA (341 nucleotides) under Trechisporales sp. RNAcentral describes it as "partial contains 5.8S ribosomal RNA, internal transcribed spacer 2, and large subunit ribosomal RNA". The stretch from base 1 to 71 matches the Rfam family "5.8S ribosomal RNA", at positions 84 to 154 of the family's 154-position model. The record is from RNAcentral. Lineage: Eukaryota; Fungi; Basidiomycota; Agaricomycetes; Trechisporales.